CUAUCCCUGACGCGGGGGGAUCUGCUCCGCGCGAGGAUUGGGCAGGCGCGUCUGUCAAUCAAGCGCUGUGGUGGCUGUGAAGCGAGCUGAGGCCGCUUCGCGAAGGGAAAGCGAGAGAGUGAGGAGCUCCUGGGCUGAACUGAGACUUGUCGCUUUUGUCUCCCUGGCUGCUCUGGCUGAUUACUUUGGGCCUUUCUCCUCUGCGCCACAGAAGAGACUCCACAGCCAAAAUGACUGUUUCCCCAGUUCAGCCCCAACUGCUUUGGAAGCUUCCUUCUGAUUUCUGCACCUGAAGAUAGUCUUGCCAGCAGAAGGCUCUUGGGGGCGGGGAUCGAAAAGGAAAACAAAACAAAACAAAAGGCCUGGAAAUGGGGCCUGAGAGAAAAAUGUGAGGCGUAUGCUUAAUUUGAGCCGCAAACCAAAAUGAGCUGAGUCUGAGGGCCUUCGAAGUGCCCUAGUGCGUGGGUAGCUUCCCGUUUUGGCUGCGGUAGCCUUGCUGUGAGGAGGACAGUGACCUUGGGUGUCAGGUCUGCCCUGCCACCUGCCAUCAGGAAGUUGGUUCUACCCACACAGGCGCUGCACCACCACCACCAGCACCACCCCCAACCCCGUCCCCUGCCUCAUUCCUUCCCAGACCUCUGUGGCUCUGCUUAGGCCUUGCCGCCUCAGGGAAGCCUGUUGGAUGAGGCACCCUUCACGCUGCACAGUGAGAAGACACGGUGAGAAGGCAGCGAUGUGCAAGCCAGGAAGAGAGCUCUCACCAGAAACUAACAAUGCUGGCACCCGGAUGUGGGACUUCCAGCCUCCAGAAGGGGAGAAACACAUUUGCCUUCACGUUAUCUUCAGGAAACCAGCAUCAACCCAUCUGCAAAGGGUUUCAGUGUCGAGCCGGCGCCACUCUGGCCACAGGCUUUGGAGACCGCUAUUUCUGGCCAAAGCGGAGUAGACCCUCAAGGCAGGACGCGGCCCUGGAAGCACUGACGAAGGCGCUUGCGACACUUCAGCACCACGGACACAGGCAACCCCAAUGAAGUCCUUUAGAGCGGUACAGCCAGCGGAGACCAUCCCCUCCCCAGGCGCCCCCCAGCCCUCUCUGCCCAGUGCGUCACUAUCUCCGGGCCCUCGACCGUCACUCAGAUGCCAGUUUUCGGUCCCGCUACUCGCCAAGUCCGGCAAAAGCCUGGACGAAGAUGCAAGUCCGUGCAGCACCCUACUCGCCUGGACAAGAUUCUCGUUCCUGCUAGCCCAAGUCACCCUUGCAUCCUCCUCUCUCAAAAGAGGCCAAACGGGAGCACCUGGCGUAGAAAUCCUACGGCCCAUAGGCCGGUCGGGGAGGGGUCAUGUUUUCCUCCCCGGAGCUGCCAGAGGCUGAGUGGACUUGCCCUGCGCCUCCAGCCGCCACACUUGGCCGUGGCCUGGCCCUUCCUGCAAUACCCCCAUGUCCUCGCCUUUCGUUGGGGAAAGAUUUCUCCGAACCGUUUAUUUUCCGCGAAAUCUCAACCCAUGUAGACUGGCGUCCGAGAGUCGGUGACAGACAACAAAGUAAAGGAAAAUACUAAUUCUUGGCCAAAUUUCUAAAA
Molecule: long non-coding RNA, 1580 nt
Organism: Camelus dromedarius (Arabian camel)
Lineage: Eukaryota; Metazoa; Chordata; Mammalia; Artiodactyla; Camelidae
Exons: 3
Source: RefSeq, a predicted model, not a curated record